Phyllostomus discolor (pale spear-nosed bat) is the source of this 169-nucleotide long non-coding RNA. RefSeq lists it as uncharacterized. The transcript has 4 exons. The record is from RefSeq and is a predicted model, not a curated record. NCBI's taxonomy places the organism in Eukaryota, Metazoa, Chordata, Mammalia, Chiroptera, Phyllostomidae.
CUGCUCUCUCCCAGCUACUCACUGUCAUCACUAUUCUUGGGUAUCAGGCUCCGGAUUGGGGGUAAGGGUACAGGGUUCUUCCAGUUCAUUGUGUAAUGACAUAUUUUAAAACCAUAGCUUAAAGAGACUUAAAACAGAUUUGUAAAAAGAAGACAUUUCACUAAAAAUG